RNAcentral lists this ribosomal RNA (373 nucleotides) under uncultured Bacteroidota bacterium. RNAcentral's name for it is "bacterial SSU rRNA". It matches the Rfam family "Bacterial small subunit ribosomal RNA", at positions 521 to 896 of the family's 1533-position model. Lineage: Bacteria; Pseudomonadati; Bacteroidota. The record is from RNAcentral.
UAAUACGGAGGGUGCAAGCGUUAUCCGGAUUUAUUAGGUUUAAAGGGUUCGCAGGCGGAAUUUUAAGUCAGUGGUGAAAGCCUAUAGCUCAACUAUAGAACUGCCAUUGAAACUGAGAUUCUUGAGUAUAGAUGAAGUGGGCGGAAUAUGUCAUGUAGCGGUGAAAUGCAUAGAUAUGACAUGGAACACCAAUUGCGAAGGCAGCUCACUAAACUAUUACUGACGCUCAUGAACGAAAGCGUGGGGAGCAAACAGGAUUAGAUACCCUGGUAGUCCACGCCGUAAACUAUGAUCACUAGAUGUUGGCGAUAUACUGUCAGUGUUUUAGAGAAAUCGUUAAGUGAUCCACCUGGGGAGUACGUUCGCAAGAAUG